This 506-nucleotide ribosomal RNA is filed under the name uncultured bacterium. RNAcentral describes it as "bacterial SSU rRNA". It matches the Rfam family "Bacterial small subunit ribosomal RNA", at positions 15 to 518 of the family's 1533-position model. The record is from RNAcentral.
GAUUAUGGCUCAGGAUGAACGCUAGCUACAGGCCUAACACAUGCAAGUCGAGGGGCAGCAGAUCGAAAGCUUGCUUUGAUGCUGGCGACCGGCGAAUGGGUGAGUCACGCGUGUCCAACCUGCCCCCCGCCCGGGGAUAGCCCUUGGAAAUGAGGAUUAAGACCCGAUACGUGCGCCCUCCGCAUGGCGAGCGCAUGAAACUGGCGAGGGAUGGGGACGCGUCGGAUUAGCUUGACGGCGGGGCAACGGCCCACCGUGGCGACGAUCCGCAGGGGUUCUGAGAGGAAGGUCCCCCACACUGGCACUGAGACACGGGCCAGACUCCUACGGGAGGCAGCAGUGAGGAAUAUUGGUCAAUGGCCGAGAGGCUGAACCAGCCAAGUAGCGUGCAGGAUGACGGCCCUACGGGUUGUAAACUGCUUUUGCGGGAGGAUAAAGUGCGCCACGCGUGGCGCUUUGCAGGUAUCCCGUGAAUAAGGACCGGCUAAUUCCGUGCCAGCAGCCGC